Molecule: long non-coding RNA, 386 nt
Organism: Stegodyphus dumicola
Lineage: Eukaryota; Metazoa; Arthropoda; Arachnida; Araneae; Eresidae
Source: RefSeq, a predicted model, not a curated record
UUAGAAGGGAAGAAUGACAGGCGGAGCUUGAUGUCAUAACUGUUGCGUUGUGCGCUGUUUUGCGCUUUUCGUUUCUCUCUGUAUGAGGGCGUUUUCUUGCCGAAACAAUUUUUCGUGUUUCAAGAGUUGGAGCCACUGGCUGCCAGGAAACAUUGGAACCCAAUGGAAAUAUUUCAAACGGACCUUAUAAGAGAUGCGGUGCUUUUUUAGAUGGAAUACAAGCACUGUCAUACUGUGCAGUCUGCGAAAGUUUAAAUGAAGAAAAUAUCAGCUGCAUGCUAUUUGGUCAUAUGCGAGUGUCAGAACUACUUAUAAGGGGAGUUUAAAGCGCCUUUCUAUUUUCUGGUCUCAUGUUUUCUCUGAAUUUGUCAGGAGAUCUGAAGAUU